AGUGAACGCUGGCGGUAGGCCUAACACAUGCAAGUCGAACGGCAGCACAGUAAGAGCUUGCUCUUACGGGUGGCGAGUGGCGGACGGGUGAGGAAUACAUCGGAAUCUACUUUUUCGUGGGGGAUAACGUAGGGAAAUUUACGCUAAUACCGCAUACGACCUACGGGUGAAAGCAGGGGAUAUUCGGACCUUGCGCGAUUGAAUGAGCGGAUGUCGGAUUAGCUAGUUGGCGGGGUAAAGGCCCACCAAGGCGACGAUCCGUAGCUGGUCUGAGAGGAUGAUCAGCCACACUGGAACUGAGACACGGUCCAGACUCCUACGGGAGGCAGCAGUGGGGAAUAUUGGACAAUGGGCGCAAGCCUGAUCCAGCCAUACCGCGUGGGUGAAGAAGGCCUUCGGGUUGUAAAGCCCUUUUGUUGGGAAAGAAAAGCAGCAGGUUAAUACCCCGCUGUUCUGACGGUACCCAAAGAAUAAGCACCGGCUAACUUCGUG
Molecule: ribosomal RNA, 492 nt
Filed under: uncultured bacterium
Lineage: Bacteria
Description: partial 16S ribosomal RNA
Rfam family: Bacterial small subunit ribosomal RNA
Source: RNAcentral